UGGGGAAUUUUGGACAAUGGGCGCAAGCCUGAUCCAGCAAUGCCGCGUGCAGGAUGAAGGCCUUCGGGUUGUAAACUGCUUUUGUACGGAACGAAAAGCCUCUCUCUAAUACAGGGGGUGAUGACGGUACCGUAAGAAUAAGCACCGGCUAACUACGUGCCAGCAGCCGCGGUAAUACGUAGGGUGCAAGCGUUAAUCGGAAUUACUGGGCGUAAAGCGUGCGCAGGCGGUAUUGUAAGACAGUGGUGAAAUCCCCGGGCUCAACCUGGGAACUGCCAUUGUGACUGCAAGGCUUGAGUGCGGCAGAGGGGGAUGGAAUUCCGCGUGUAGCAGUGAAAUGCGUAGAUAUGCGGAGGAACACCGAUGGCGAAGGCAAUCCCCUGGGCCUGCACUGACGCUCAUGCACGAAAAGCGUGGGGAGCAAACAGGAUUAGAUACCCUGGUAGUCCACGCCCUAAAACGAUGUCAACUGGUUGUUGGGAAGGUUCCUUCUCAGUAACGUAGCUAACGCGUGAAGUUGACCGCCUGGGGAGUACGGCCGCAAGGUUG
RNAcentral lists this ribosomal RNA (549 nucleotides) under uncultured bacterium. RNAcentral's name for it is "partial 16S ribosomal RNA". It matches the Rfam family "Bacterial small subunit ribosomal RNA", at positions 355 to 896 of the family's 1533-position model. The record is from RNAcentral.